Molecule: unclassified non-coding RNA, 345 nt
Filed under: soil metagenome
Description: partial contains 5.8S ribosomal RNA, internal transcribed spacer 2, and large subunit ribosomal RNA
Rfam family: 5.8S ribosomal RNA (bases 1-119)
Source: RNAcentral
GAUGAAGAACGCAGCGAAAUGCGAUACGUAAUGUGAAUUGCAAAUUCAGUGAAUCAUCGAGUCUUUGAACGCACAUUGCGCCCCCUGGUAUUCCGGGGGGCAUGCCUGUCCGAGCGUCAUUGCUGCCCUCAAGCACGGCUUGUGUGUUGGGCCCCGUCCUCCGAUCCCGGGGGACGGGCCCGAAAGGCAGCGGCGGCACCGCGUCCGGUCCUCGAGCGUAUGGGGCUUUGUCACCCGCUCUGUAGGCCCGGCCGGCGCUUGCCGAUCAACCCAAAUUUUUAUCCAGGUUGACCUCGGAUCAGGUAGGGAUACCCGCUGAACUUUAGCAUAUCAAUAAGCGGAGGA